Molecule: non-coding RNA, 510 nt
Organism: Odocoileus virginianus texanus
Lineage: Eukaryota; Metazoa; Chordata; Mammalia; Artiodactyla; Cervidae
Source: RefSeq, a predicted model, not a curated record
CUCUGAUGAUCCCAAACGAUCCAUUCCACCCCCCUUCCAGGCAGUUUUCCGUGAGGUAGUGUAACAGAGCAGGAUGGGCACAUCCCCCAGCAGGCAGCCGCUGAUGGGCCUCAUUACUCCACACCCGUUACCAGGCAACGGGUCUUGCUCAGCCAUUGGUCCGGUUCCCCAGUGGGCGCGGCCCACAAGCCACGGUGAAUGAGCAACCGGUAGUUGUCCUGCUCAGCUAUUGGUCAGUGCCACGGUGGACCUUGCCCACAAGUAACAGUCAAUGAGGGACCAUUAGGUGCAAAUUUCUCCGGAGGCAAUUUCACAUAACCUGAACAACAGCGGAAAGGAACAAGACCCUGCGUGCGUUUAAUGGAAGAACCAGUCAAGUGCUCAGGCACUAAACAGAAUUUUACAACUCAGAAGAGGGUGGAAGCCGGCUUUAGAAAAAAUGGUGCAUGGCACUGAAGCUCUGAUUUUUCCACAAUCACAGUAUAGAAUGCAGUCACUCUUCAAUAUUAA